UUCUCAGAAUCUCAGUUCUGCUGUCGCGCACUCUCCUUAGCCACACUGCAGCCUGUUGGUCCCCAGGAUGCAGAGCACAGCAGGAAAAGUAUGAGCAAAGGAACAGAGAGAAGACAGGGGCUGACUGGCACCCCGGGUGACCUUGGGCAAAUCACUUGCUCUCAGUUUUAGUUUCCUUGUCGGUAAUUUGAGAAGAAUAAUACCUCUCACGUUUGUUGUGAGGCUUACAUGAAAUAAAAUCUGUGAAAACACUUUAUGAGCUUCAAAAGGCAUGUAUACAAAUGGAAGGGCUUUUAUUAUUGGCUUUCAUUCAAAGUGUUUGGGACUUUGGGCUCUGGGGAGAA
Callorhinus ursinus (northern fur seal) is the source of this 344-nucleotide non-coding RNA. The record is from RefSeq and is a predicted model, not a curated record. NCBI's taxonomy places the organism in Eukaryota, Metazoa, Chordata, Mammalia, Carnivora, Otariidae.